Molecule: ribosomal RNA, 241 nt
Filed under: uncultured Gammaproteobacteria bacterium
Lineage: Bacteria; Pseudomonadati; Pseudomonadota; Gammaproteobacteria
Description: partial 16S ribosomal RNA
Rfam family: Bacterial small subunit ribosomal RNA
Source: RNAcentral
UAAAGCACUUUCAGUGAGGGAGGAUUGUAGUUGCGGAUAAUACCCGUGAUUAUUGACGUUACCUACAGAAGAAGCACCGGCUAACUCAGUGCCAGCAGCCGCGGUAAUACUGAGGGUGCAAGCGUUAAUCGGAAUUACUGGGCGUAAAGCGCGCGUAGGUGGUUAGAUCAGUUGGGUGUGAAAGCCCCGGGCUCAACCUGGGAACUGCAUUCAAUACUGUCUAGCUAGAGUAUGGUAGAGG